Molecule: ribosomal RNA, 253 nt
Filed under: uncultured bacterium
Lineage: Bacteria
Description: partial 16S ribosomal RNA
Rfam family: Bacterial small subunit ribosomal RNA
Source: RNAcentral
UACAGAGGUCCCAAGCGUUGUUCGGAUUCACUGGGCGUAAAGGGUGCGUAGGCGGUCGGGUAAGUCUGACGUGAAAUCUUCAAGCUUAACUUGGAAACUGCGUCGGAUACUAUUCGGCUGGAGGAAUGGAGGGGAGACUGGAAUACUUGGUGUAGCAGUGAAAUGCGUAGAUAUCAAGUGGAACACCAGUGGCGAAGGCGAGUCUCUGGACAUUUCCUGACACUGAGACACGAAGGCCAGGGGAGCAAACGGG